UACGAAGGGGGCUAGCGUUGCUCGGAAUCACUGGGCGUAAAGGGUGCGUAGGCGGGCAGGUAAGUCCGUGGUGAAAUCUCUGAGCUUAACUCAGAAACUGCCAUGGAUACUAUUUGUCUUGAAUGUUGUGGAGGUAAGCGGAAUAUGUCAUGUAGCGGUGAAAUGCUUAGAUAUGACAUAGAACACCAAUUGCGAAGGCAGCUUACUACACAGAUAUUGACGCUGAGGCACGAAAGCGUGGGGAUCAAACAGG
This 253-nucleotide ribosomal RNA is filed under the name uncultured bacterium. Its description in RNAcentral is "partial 16S ribosomal RNA". It matches the Rfam family "Bacterial small subunit ribosomal RNA", at positions 524 to 776 of the family's 1533-position model. The record is from RNAcentral.